Molecule: unclassified non-coding RNA, 364 nt
Filed under: Eclipta prostrata
Lineage: Eukaryota; Viridiplantae; Streptophyta; Magnoliopsida; Asterales; Asteraceae
Description: partial external transcribed spacer
Source: RNAcentral
GCAUUCCUCUUUGACAUAACCCACCCGUUGGUACAAGACACUACGGGCUGGGCAGUCGUAGAAAGAAAGCGAAUCGAGGGCAAAAAAGGAAUCAAUGAGAUCCCAUGCCCACAUCAGGUUCCGUAUCCAUGAUACCAACCAAUACUCAAUGUUCCACACCACCAACACAGACAUCGACGAUGUGGUCCAAAGAGCUGGCUACAGGGUCCAUCUUAUGCCAUGUAAAUGACAUAGUGAUGAAAGCAACUUUGAUCCGUCAAAACAAUACCUUCACUUAGGUAUGCAACACAGGAAACCAGCAACCCGAUUAGGCAAUACAAAGCCUAAACCGACAACUGAAGAGGUAUGACAGGUGGAAGUUGUU